This 73-nucleotide transfer RNA is filed under the name Sporothrix schenckii 1099-18. RNAcentral's name for it is "tRNA-Thr". It matches the Rfam family "tRNA". From Rfam's summary of the family: Transfer RNA (tRNA) molecules are approximately 80 nucleotides in length. Lineage: Eukaryota; Fungi; Ascomycota; Sordariomycetes; Ophiostomatales; Ophiostomataceae. The record is from RNAcentral.
GCCCGGGUAGCACAGUGGUAGCUGCGCCUGCCUAGUAAGCAGGAGGUCCGCGGUUCGAUCCCGCGUCUGGGCU